AGCAGCAGUAAAGUGAGGUGCCCAAAGUCAUGUGGUGAUCCUGUAGCAGAGAUGGGGACAGAAUCAGCAAGUUCUGAAUACUGGUGACUUGCAAGAGGCAUUUGAAGGAUUACAUCUCCCACUACAAAAACAAGCAUUGUAAUGGAAAACGAAGAUGUGCGCUGGAACUUCAGGGUUUCAUAUGUAGAGCAUUACAGGCAUUAAAUGAAAAGGAAAAAUGACAAGCUGACGAAAGGGCUGAUGUGUUAUUGCAUGAAGCACUUUGGAGCCAGCUUCUGAAGCAGCUUUAUGCACAAACCUCUCCAUGAUUUAGAGUGGACGUGGCUACAGCAUCUGAUUCUUGCUGGGGAAAACAGACUACCCAUUCAGGCUGGCUCUGGGGGUUUGCUGCUUGCUGGGUAAAGUAGCUGCAGAAGGGACCCAGGAAUACGCUCAAUAAAACCUUGCCUUUG
Long non-coding RNA from Alligator sinensis (Chinese alligator), 452 nucleotides. RefSeq lists it as uncharacterized. The record is from RefSeq and is a predicted model, not a curated record. The transcript is spliced from 2 exons. Lineage: Eukaryota; Metazoa; Chordata; Crocodylia; Alligatoridae.